RNAcentral lists this transfer RNA (86 nucleotides) under Candidatus Nomurabacteria bacterium. Its description in RNAcentral is "tRNA-Tyr". It matches the Rfam family "tRNA". From Rfam's summary of the family: Transfer RNA (tRNA) molecules are approximately 80 nucleotides in length. Their secondary structure includes four short double-helical elements and three loops (D, anti-codon, and T loops). Further hydrogen bonds mediate the characteristic L-shaped molecular structure. tRNAs have two regions of fundamental functional importance: the anti-codon, which is responsible for specific mRNA codon recognition, and the 3' end, to which the tRNAs corresponding amino acid is attached (by aminoacyl-tRNA synthetases). tRNAs cope with the degeneracy of the genetic code in two manners: having more than one tRNA (with a specific anti-codon) for a particular amino acid; and 'wobble' base-pairing, i.e. permitting non-standard base-pairing at the 3rd anti-codon position. The record is from RNAcentral. Lineage: Bacteria; Candidatus Nomuraibacteriota.
GGAGAGAUACCCAAGUGGCCAACGGGACCAGACUGUAAAUCUGGCGGCAUUAGCCUUCGAAGGUUCGAAUCCUUCUCUCUCCACCA